CGGGCCUUUUCUGGACCCUCCGCCGCAGAGGGGAAGUGGGAAACCGCCGCUGCUUUCCCGCCGCUUAGCUUCAGCCCGCGACGGUCAGCCUGCAGGUCCCUUGGAACUCACGCCACAUGUUACGUGGAUGAAGGUGUCCUGCUGCGGUUGUGCUACUUGGUGACCGUUCUCUAGUUCGUUGCUCGAUGCUCAUGUCCUUGCUUAACUGGACGGUCUGACUCAGCCAGUGGUCUUCUGCGUGUGCUCCCUGGAGCCCAGUUAGAGGCUCUCAGAAGCUGGAAUCCAGCCCUCAACUCCUCGACCAGAGAAGCUCUGCUUCCUUCAUGCAUUGGCUUCUGCAUAGAAUUUAGUUUAGUAAAAGGCUGUGGAGAUAAAGUUUGAAAACCACUGGAGUCAAUGACCACCCCCACACACCACUCACAACCACAUAAAAGUCUUGGGUUUUAUGAUUCAACAGUUUGCUCCCAAAGCUGGAACCCCUCCUUUAAAAAGACAGGAUUCAUGUGGGCCUUGGUCUCAUCUUCCCAGCCAGACUUUAAAUCCUGAGAAGGCUGCAUUUGGGCUCGUGGUUCUCGGCUUCCCAUGACAAGCUUCCCGUUUGGACUCAUGGAAUCUCAGCUUUGGCUGGAUUUACAGAAGUUGUUCCACAAAGUUCUGGGCUGGAUGCCCUGACAGGACAGCAGAGGGGUGAGGUACUUGACAUAGUUGAAAGGAGCUAUGGUAUCUUUGCUGAUCCCCAUAGCCUUGAGAGAAGUGCCAGCAUCACCCCAUUGCUCCAAUGAGAAACCAAGGCUCAGAGAAGGCCACUGCAAAUGUGACUUCCAGCCAACUAUUAAGGAAACCAAGGGACAUAGUGAGGAGGAAGGAAGAGGAGGAAGAGGCCUGAUGCACCAGCAAAUGUUUGGCCUGCUGGGAAGCCUGGUGUGUGCAUGAAAACGAAACACUGAAGUCUAGGAUGCUACUAGGAGGAAAACAAGGCCAGUGUGAACUUGAGCUGUAUGAGAGGUGGUGUUCAUGGGCCCAAAGAAACCCUUUUUCAGAGGUCUGUAGCAGUGAGUUGCCUGCUAGAGCGAUGAGCAAUGGUGGUGAUCCCUUUCCAGAAGGAUAUGGAAAUCUGGAGAGGGGUCAGAGAAGGAAGUCAGGAGUUAGAAGCUAGUGCCUAUGAGAGAAAAACAAAACACAAAAAAAAUGCAUAAAAGAAAUUGGGACUAUAUCACCUAAGGAACAUAAAGCAUAGAAGGGAUUUGAUAACUAUCUUCAAACAGAUGGAGGGUCUCUAGAGGACGCUGAAUAGAGUCACAGAAUUUCUGAAUUGAAAAGAACCAAAUACCCUCACUUUGCAGAUAAGAGAAUUUGGGUUUAAAAAAAUGACUUGCCCCAAGUCUUUUGGCCAACAGUGGCAGAAUUAGAGCUAAUAUCAAAGUCUCCUGGUUCCAAAUAAUGUUAUUUCCAGCAUAACAUGAGAAAACCAUCUUCAUCUUCACAAAGAGCAAAGAAAAAGUAGGAGUAAAAUUAAAGCAGAAACAAUUCCAAUCCAAACUAAGGAACAAUGCCUUCAAAGUCAGAAGGGUGAAAGACUGGAACGAGUUAGGCCUCCAGCCCCAAUAAUCUUCCUGGAGAAAAGGGGCAACCAGCUGUCCCAAUUGGCUUUGCCCAUGAUUCCCACUUGAGAAAUGAACAUUUUAAACCAUUAGUUGAUUUUCUAGUCCUCACGGGUGUCACUGUGUUUCUAUAUACACUAAGAAUAUAUUUAACUAAAAUGCAUUAAAAUUUAAGCAUUUCACAGUACUCCAAACUAUUGACGGAAAGUAUGUCCACAGGGUACUGCAAAAACUGAGUCAGAUUCAGCUCACUAGUUUCAAAAUGCAUCUGCCAGCUCUCAUGCCCUAUUUGUGGGUAACUGGCGUCACUUUUGGGGAGGGAAGUUUGGCAACAACUAUGACGAUUUAAAACGCACAUAUCCUUUGACUCGUUGCUAGGCAGGUCCCUUGGGGAAAGCACACUGACUUCUUCCCCCAACUGGAAAAAUACUGAAGGUCUAUCAAUGUGGGCCUGAUUGGAUUAAAAGGUACAUCCAUGUGAGAGAAUCUAUAUGAUUGUUUAAAAGAAUGAGGUAGAACUGUUUGUGUUAACUACAAAAAGAUAUUUAAAUAUAUUAUUAAAUAAUAUAUACUAUGUUAUAUAUUACUAAACCCAAAUAUAUUAAA
Long non-coding RNA from Camelus dromedarius (Arabian camel), 2207 nucleotides. RefSeq lists it as uncharacterized. The record is from RefSeq and is a predicted model, not a curated record. The transcript is spliced from 5 exons. NCBI's taxonomy places the organism in Eukaryota, Metazoa, Chordata, Mammalia, Artiodactyla, Camelidae.